This 921-nucleotide ribosomal RNA is filed under the name Triticum aestivum (bread wheat). Its description in RNAcentral is "partial small subunit ribosomal RNA". Lineage: Eukaryota; Viridiplantae; Streptophyta; Magnoliopsida; Poales; Poaceae. The record is from RNAcentral.
AUGCAAGGCGCUGCCGCGGCCGCCGAGAGGAGGAGCAGGGCUUCGCCUGACAAGGCCGACGAGAGCUCCAAGAAGGCCCGGCUGGAUCUGCCCGACGGCCACAUGAAGCAAGAGGCGGCCGGUGGAGGAGAUGGAGGCUCCAUCAUUGGGGCGGCGUACAUCCAGCGAGUGGAACUCGCCGUGAGGAUCGACAAGCAAGUGCUCCACUGCCCCCUCUGCACCCUCCCCUUCAAGCCCCCGGUCUUCCAGUGCAAAGCGGGGCACCCGGCCUGCAGCGGCUGUGUGGCCCUGCUGCCCUUCAGGCAGUGCAAGGCAUGUGUGGACGGCGGUGGCUUCUUCGACCCCUGCCCUACACUAGACGCCUUGGUGUCCUCCACCAGGAUCGGGUGCCCCAACGUCGGCUGCCAGUGGUACGUGACCUACCACGAGGUCACCGAGCACCAGAAAGCGCUCGCCGGUCAUCUCCGCACUGUCCACUUGGUGCCGGUGCGCGCCGUGCAGUACGGCAAGGUCAACAAGCUUCAGCUACCGGUGUCGACCAUGCGGCUGGUGCUCCUGGGCGACGACAACUGCGUGUUCCUCAAGACCGUGGGCGCGCUCGGCGCCGGCGUCACCGCCGUAUCUGUGGUGUGCGCCAGGGCGAGAGCGGCGAGGCGGCCGCGGUUCACGUGCAAGAUGUGGGUCAACCUGGAGACACCCCCGGCAGCAGUGGCAAACUGUGGCAAGGAGGACGUGGUGCUCGUGGACAUGCAAAUGAGGAGCAGCUCAUCGCCCGGCGCCGUGGUCGCUGCGGGCGAGCCCACAUUCCUGACAGUGCCGCCAAUGUACCUGGUGCCAGCAGCAGGAGACGGGGCAUCCAUGGAAGUUCCCCUGCACAUCCGCAUCGAUAAGCUCUCCCCUUGGUCCGACGCAUUGGUGUGA